CUCUUUAGCUUCUCUCCACAUUGCUUUGAAAACUGGGGUUCCAUCAAAUUGGUAGUAGUCUCCGAGUAAUGGCUUGACUGCCUUCGUUGCCUCCAUCGCGUUGUAGUGUGGCAUUGUCGAGAACAGAUGGUGCACGACGUGAGUAUCGGUGAUGUUGUGGAAGACCUUGUUUAGAAUGCCAUAGUCUCUGUCGACGGUUGCCAAAGCUCCCCUUAGCCAAUCCCACUCGGAUGAAUCGUAGUGAGGCAAUGACGGGUGAGUGUGCUGCAAGUAAGUGAUCAAGACAAGGAAGCCGUUCACGAUUAGGAGGGGUACACCAUACAUACACACAAGCCAAGCUAGCCCUUUUACCAAAGCAAUACGAUAUAGCAGAUAACCUGCUCCAAGAACUCCAGCAUCAGAAAGGAAGAUCUGUAGCCUCUCGCGGUCAUUGUAGAUUGGGCCGUAAGGGUCAUAAUGACAUGCGAAGCGAUCAUAAUGUCGGCCAGAGACAUUGAAAGCCAAGUACAAUGGCCAGCCAAGAGUGAGGGUGACUGUAAGUGACAUAACCCGGCCUGGUGGAUUGUUCAAGUACUUCGAAUACCAUCCGAGUUGUGAUUUCGGCUUAGGCACAAAGACCUCAUCACGCUCGAGCGAGCCAGUGUUGGAGUGGUGGCGACGAUGACUAUAUUUCCAAGAGAAGUAAGGCACCAUCAGAGCAGAGUGGAGGAUAAGCCCGACAGUGUCAUCGACCCACUGGUAGUCACUAAAGGCAUGGUGGCCACAUUCGUGCGCAAUGACCCAAAUACCAGUGCAAACGCAUCCCUGACAAAUCCAGUAAAUAGGCCAUGCAAGGUAGCAAUACGGGGACGGGAGGAGGUGGAAGUAAGUGAUGGCAAUGUAGUAGAAGACGGACACCAGUAUAAGGUCAUACACAACAUAGGAGAAUGAACGAACGAGAGACCGCUGAAAGCAGUGAGGUGGGAUGGCCUUCUUGAUAUCACCAACUGUGAAAGGUGGC
Molecule: long non-coding RNA, 1000 nt
Filed under: Nicotiana tabacum (common tobacco)
Lineage: Eukaryota; Viridiplantae; Streptophyta; Magnoliopsida; Solanales; Solanaceae
Description: long non-coding RNA (NTAB_LNC001364)
Source: RNAcentral